CAUCCCUGCUCCUGUGGGACCAGAGCGGAUUUUGGUUUUCCCUUGUGUUGCUCCUCCCCUGCUCCUCUGUAGCUGCCACCGGGUCUCUUCUUGUGCUGAAGAGAGAAAAGAGAAGGAACAGAGGGUGAAGGAAGCAGUGUGGGCUCAGGGGAGGAAGCUUGGAACAGCCUGGAUCACACCUUUGGAAAUGUCCUGGGUGAGGGAAAUUUAAGGAUUUGAAGAGAAGAGACAGAGUGACUCUCCAGGUGUUUAAGGAGAAUCCCUCUGGUUUGGCUCAGAGAGAAGCCAGAGGAUGGAACAUGAAACGGGAGGGUGAUGGGAGCUGGGGGUGGGAACUGGCAGCUCAGGAGCAAAUGAGACAUGACAGAAAGGGGGGAGAUAAUUUAACAGGCUUGGCCUGAUAUUGUCCUUCAUAGUCAUGUCUUGAUUUUCUCCUGCUUUAGCUUUGUCAGAUCUGAUUUUGCACAGAGGACGCAGGGGGGACUGCUGUGCCCCACGUGUGCUGCACAGAGGAGCCUGCACAGCCGCCUGUUGCUCCUCCAAGCCACAAGCAUGCAAGAAACAUUUGCUUUUAAAUGCCUGGAAGUAUUUUCACGUUGUUAAAGUGACCUCUUCUUCA
This is a long non-coding RNA of Cyanistes caeruleus (blue tit), 619 nucleotides long. RefSeq lists it as uncharacterized. The record is from RefSeq and is a predicted model, not a curated record. Lineage: Eukaryota; Metazoa; Chordata; Aves; Passeriformes; Paridae.